RNAcentral lists this ribosomal RNA (253 nucleotides) under uncultured bacterium. RNAcentral's name for it is "partial 16S ribosomal RNA". It matches the Rfam family "Bacterial small subunit ribosomal RNA", at positions 524 to 776 of the family's 1533-position model. The record is from RNAcentral.
UACGUAGGCAGCGAGCGUUGUUCGGAAUUACUGGGCGUAAAGAGUGUGUAGGCGGUGCUCCCAGUCUGUUGUGAAAUCUCCCGGCUUAACUGGGAGGGUGCAGCGGAAACUAGAGUGCUAGAGGGUGGGAGAGGUGAGCGGAAUUCCUGGUGUAGCGGUGAAAUGCGUAGAUAUCAGGAGGAACACCUGUGGUGUAGACAGCUUUCUGGACCGUAGCUGACGCUGAGACACGAAAGCGUGGGUAGCAAACAGG